RNAcentral lists this ribosomal RNA (301 nucleotides) under uncultured bacterium. RNAcentral's name for it is "partial 16S ribosomal RNA". It matches the Rfam family "Bacterial small subunit ribosomal RNA", at positions 509 to 807 of the family's 1533-position model. The record is from RNAcentral.
CAGUCGCCGCGGGAAUACGAAGGGGGCUAGCGUUGCUCGGAAUCACUGGGCGUAAAGGGUGCGUAGGCGGGUCUUUAAGUCAGGGGUGAAAUCCUGGAGCUCAACUCCAGAACUGCCUUUGAUACUGAAGAUCUUGAGUUCGGGAGAGGUGAGUGGAACUGCGAGUGUAGAGGUGAAAUUCGUAGAUAUUCGCAAGAACACCAGUGGCGAUGGCGGCUCACUGGCCCGAUACUGACGCUGAGGCACGAAAGCGUGGGGAGCAAACAGGAUUAGAUACCCGCGUAGUCCCUGUCUCUUAUAC